Molecule: long non-coding RNA, 2712 nt
Filed under: Marmota monax (woodchuck)
Lineage: Eukaryota; Metazoa; Chordata; Mammalia; Rodentia; Sciuridae
Source: RNAcentral
CUCCACACCACUCGGAUCUGGUGCGCUUCCAACACCAACCGCGUCGCCUGGGUCAGUUUGUCCACGUUCCCUUGCUUCCAACGCCGUCUUACAUAAGGUUCUGGGAGACCCGCGCCGCGUCCGGACGCGCCUGGGAGGAGCUGCCACGCCACCGCCCCUUUGGGCUCCCGGCUCCAGCACCGCAGCAAACAAAGAACUUCGGCUGCAUCGCCCAGUGGCGCCCGGAUCCCUUCCCUCUGGACAGCCAGGACGCACGUCCGAGACGCUAGAGCCAGCCCCUGCAGGAGCUCGGGUUGACCAUUUCCAAGUGGAAAGAAUGGAAACCAUAAGUGAGAUUCCUCUCCCCGCAGACUCACUUUCCCCCCCCCCUCACUCCGGUCUUCUGCAUUCUCCCUUAACUAGUUCCUAGAAAUAUCUACCCGGGCUAAUUCAUUCUGCUUUUGUGUAUGCAAAACAAGGUCAAGCCGCUUCCAGUCUCGUGCUGAGCCUCGGUUUUGUACCGCCUUUUAGUAAGCAUCAAAGUUUUGGGGUUUUUUUUUUUUUAUUUGUUUGUUUUUCUCUUCUUGGGCUUCAUGACACUGGCAAGUGAAUGUCAAGGCUUUUGAAAAAGUUGAAUUUCAAAGUCUGGAGCUUGCAUACUUCUUCCAAAUCUCACAUGUUUACCCCUUUAAACUUGGAAAUAUAUUUCUGAAAGCAUUUCUUUUUUUAAAUCGUCAUUUUGCUCAACAGUAUCCUGAGGCUUAACUGCACUGCCAAACAAGUAAAAACCUGCCACACAGACCGUGGUGUUAAGGAAGAGGCAAGUUAAGUGUAAAGAGAAAAAACUCGUCCUAUUACCAGGUAAUCUCUCUCAUUUCUUCAUAAUAUUUCUUCAAAUAUUUAUAAUACGAAUGAAGGAAAGAACUGUGAUUUGCUUGUCUCCACUGGGAAGCUAACUCUUCAAUAAACCUGUUUCUCCUAACCUCCACUCUCCCUGCCUUUAAAAAACAGCAAGAACAGUAAACAGCCAUCAAACCUCAAGGUUCAACCCAGAAUAGUAGGUUACCAGAGUGGGAAAUGUUAUUAGAUAAUAAAGAGGGAAAAGUGCCUUUUUGUAAUAAUUUGGGGACCAGUGUUGUGUCGGUAGCAAACAUUGUAUUUUCCUGCAGUGGAAAAAAAAAAUCCAAAUCCUUGCUUAUUUUUGUGGAAAAGUCCAUAUUAACAAUCCAGUACUUUCAACUUUUUCAGCUUUGGCAGUCAGAGAGGGUGCUGUUAACAGCCCUCAAAACUGAAGUUCCUUUAUUUCUUCUGCCACUUGAGAAAAAGUUUUGCCACAAAGUUCUAAUAACUCUAAGUUCCUACAAAUCAGCUUGGAAACGUCUAAAUGUGUUUUUCCUAGAAAAAGUGCCAGACAUCAAUUUUAUCUGGCAACCAUCAAAAUGCAUCAGACCACAAAACUAUACAUUGCUGGACCUCACAAGGAGCAUGGUAAGGAAUCGCAGUGAGCCAACCCAAGUGCUCAGCUACACCACAUCUGCAGUCUACAACGUCAACAGCUGUAAUGAUAUACCAAAAUACCAGAUUUUUAUAGGUGAUAAAUUCACAUUUUCAGCUAAUUCUACUGUGAUCUGUUGCCUAGACUCACAUUUAAAGGAAAUACUAAAUUUCAGUUACAGGAUAGUGACAAUACCUGACAUUAACUGCUGCAACCAAGAACGUGCAACAGCAAAAUAAAACAAAAUUUUAAAUUGUAAAAGCAAUGGGUGGAAAUCUCAAAUCAACCUUCUCAGCCUCAGGUUUAAGAUUACAUAGCAUUAUUUAACUCCUCAUCACACUAAACUAACUGUCAUAUAUAGAAUAAAUAAAUAAAUAAAUAAAUAAAUAAAUAUAUAUAUAUAUAUAUAUAUAUAUAUAGAGAGAGAGAGAGAGAGAGAGAGAGAGACCAUGAAAAUGAAUUUUUUUUUUGUUUGCAACUAUAUUAUUUUAUGAGAUAGCAAAUGACAUAAAACGUGGGGAUUUAGGUCAAAGAACAGUUUUCCUGAUUGCCAGGUUGGCAGAACUUGUGUAACUAAAGUAUGCAUACUGAUAAUUGAUGUGCACAGUGACCCCCAAACAGGAAGUGCCCUUGGAAUCAUAAGUCUAAUAGUCAUUUAUUCAACCCCUACUGUGAGAAAUACAGUAGGGAUUAUAGAUUAUAAGGCGCUGCCUGCACAGAUUUUGCAUUCUAGUUAGAGAAGGGAAUGCCAUAAAGUUCAAAAAAGUGUAGGCUGGUGGGCAGAGAGGAGGGGAGCAAGGAUGGUUGCUUUUCAUGACGUCUUUCCACGGUAGUUGAUUUUUGAAACUGUGCUAUGUGUUUUACUUACAUAAAAGUUUAAGAGGUAAAUAAUGAUAGCAAUGGGAAAGAAGGAACAGAUGUAAUAAGCAUAGGAAGAAUACUGCUCCAGCCCGAAACCGGAUAGGGGAAGUUGGGUACAUAUGGACCUCUCCCUCUGCUUCAUGUCCCUGAUCUAUCAAUAAGUUCAUUGUCUCCAGAAUCUCCCACAGAUUCCUCCUCAUCCUCAUCCUCCCCAACACUGCCUCAAGCUGCAAAGACCUCCUCACCAUUAACCUUCCUCUGGUGCAUGAAUUCUUGACAUUUGUUGACCCCUUUGGCAGUACUUCCCAUCCUAUGGAACUCUUCUCACAAUAAGGUGCUUGGAUUAUAAAAUAAGGUACAAAAUAUGAAUUGUAUUA